RNAcentral lists this unclassified non-coding RNA (391 nucleotides) under soil metagenome. RNAcentral's name for it is "partial contains 5.8S ribosomal RNA, internal transcribed spacer 2, and large subunit ribosomal RNA". The stretch from base 1 to 122 matches the Rfam family "5.8S ribosomal RNA", at positions 35 to 154 of the family's 154-position model. The record is from RNAcentral.
GAUGAAGAACGUAGCGAAAUGCGAUACUUGGUGUGAAUUGCAGAAUCCCGUGAACCAUCGAGUCUUUGAACGCAAGUUGCGCCCGAAGCCACUAGGCCGAGGGCACGCCUGCCUGGGCGUCACACGUCGUUGCCCCCCCAUCUACUCCUUCGGGCUUGCGGGGGGGCGGAUGAUGGCCUCCCGUGCGCCUAGCCGCGCGGUUGGCAUAAAUACCAAGUCCUCGGCGACGCACGCCACGACAAUCGGUGGUUGCGAAACCUCGGUUGCCCGUCGUGUGCGUUCGUCGCGCAUCGAGGGCUCGAAAAAAUGCUCGGCUUCGGCUCGGCUUUCAACGCGACCCCAGGUCAGGCGGGGUUACCCGCUGAAUUUAAGCAUAUCAAUAAGCGGAGGA